UCCGGUAUGGUGUAACGGCUAACAUUGCCGCCUUUCACAGAUUGAUUACGCUCGCGGCAGCUCGGGGUUCGAUUCCCCGUACCGGAA
Molecule: non-coding RNA, 87 nt
Organism: Lyophyllum atratum
Lineage: Eukaryota; Fungi; Basidiomycota; Agaricomycetes; Agaricales; Lyophyllaceae
Source: the annotation of a GenBank genome assembly